This 253-nucleotide ribosomal RNA is filed under the name uncultured bacterium. Its description in RNAcentral is "partial 16S ribosomal RNA". It matches the Rfam family "Bacterial small subunit ribosomal RNA", at positions 524 to 776 of the family's 1533-position model. The record is from RNAcentral.
UACAGAGGUGGCAAGCGUUGUUCGGAAUUACUGGGCGUAAAGGGCGCGUAGGCGGCCUUCUAAGUCAGACGUGAAAUCCCCCGGCUUAACCUGGGAACUGCGUCUGAUACUGGAUGGCUUGAGUUCGGGAGAGGGAUGCGGAAUUCCAGGUGUAGCGGUGAAAUGCGUAGAUAUCUGGAGGAACACCGGUGGCGAAGGCGGCAUCCUGGACCGACACUGACGCUGAGGAGCGAAAGCCAGGGGAGCAAACGGG